GUGCCACUAAACUUGCUCGUAGUCUGAAUGCCCAUUCUGCUAUUUACGCCCACAAACUUGUUACCACUAGACGUGCCAUUGCAAACAAUGUUUCUUCCCACAGCCAGGUUCUAAGGCCUUGUGCCUCUAGAAACCCACCUGAUCCCCAUUAAUUUUUUUCCUUCUUUCCUUGUGGUGGGGGAGACUCACGGCUCUUUGGAGCCAAUGUGUCUCCUUUUCCUUAAUUGAUGUAGGGGGAGUUUCUCCGCCUACGUAGUUUU
Molecule: long non-coding RNA, 260 nt
Filed under: Dunaliella salina
Lineage: Eukaryota; Viridiplantae; Chlorophyta; Chlorophyceae; Chlamydomonadales; Dunaliellaceae
Description: long non-coding RNA (DSAL_LNC000459)
Source: RNAcentral